GCCUUCUUAGCUCAGGGGUAGAGCGCGUCACUAGUACGAUUCGAAUUCAAUUCGACAUCAGUCAAUGACGAGGUCAUUGGUUCAAAUCCAGUAGGAGGCA
This 100-nucleotide transfer RNA is filed under the name Capronia epimyces CBS 606.96. It matches the Rfam family "tRNA". From Rfam's summary of the family: Transfer RNA (tRNA) molecules are approximately 80 nucleotides in length. Their secondary structure includes four short double-helical elements and three loops (D, anti-codon, and T loops). Lineage: Eukaryota; Fungi; Ascomycota; Eurotiomycetes; Chaetothyriales; Herpotrichiellaceae. The record is from Rfam by way of RNAcentral.